UAAGGAAUAUUGGUCAAUGGACGCAAGUCUGAACCAGCCAUGCCGCGUGCAGGAAGACGGCCCUAUGGGUUGUAAACUGCUUUUGUACGGGAAAAAACCCCGGGUUUCGGACCUGGACUGAUGGUACUGUAUGAAUAAGCAUCGGCUAACUCCGUGCCAGCAGCCGCGGUAAUACGGAGGAUGCAAGCGUUAUCCGGAUUUACUGGGUGUAAAGGGUGCUCAGGCGGGUUUGUAAGUCAGAGGUGAAACUCCGAAGCUUAACUUCGGAACUGCCUUUGAUACUGCAUCCCUAGAGUUUGAGAGAGGCGAGUGGAAUAUCUGGUGUAGCAGUGAAAUGCGUAGAUAUCAGAUAGAACACCAAUGGCGAAGGCAGCUCGCUGGCUCAAUACUGACGCUAAAGCACGAAAGUGUGGGUAGCAAACA
This 423-nucleotide ribosomal RNA is filed under the name uncultured prokaryote. RNAcentral's name for it is "bacterial SSU rRNA". It matches the Rfam family "Bacterial small subunit ribosomal RNA", at positions 355 to 774 of the family's 1533-position model. The record is from RNAcentral.